AGUGAACGCUGGCGGUAGGCUUAACACAUGCAAGUCGAACGGCAGCACAGUAAGAGCUUGCUCUUACGGGUGGCGAGUGGCGGACGGGUGAGGAAUACAUCGGAAUCUACUUUUUCGUGGGGGAUAACGUAGGGAAACUUACGCUAAUACCGCAUACGACCUACGGGUGAAAGCAGGGGAUCUUCGGACCUUGCGCGAUUGAAUGAGCCGAUGUCGGAUUGGCUAGUUGGCGGGGUAAAGGCCCACCAAGGCGACGAUCCGUAGCUGGUCUGAGAGGAUGAUCAGCCACACUGGAACUGAGACACGGUCCAGACUCCUACGGGAGGCAGCAGUGGGGAAUAUUGGACAAUGGGCGCAAGCCUGAUCCAGCCAUACCGCGUGGGUGAAGAAGGCCUUCGGGUUGUAAAGCCCUUUUGUUGGGAAAGAAAAGCAGCAGGUUAAUACCCCGCUGUUCUGACGGUACCCAAAGAAUAAGCACCGGCUAACUUCGUG
This 492-nucleotide ribosomal RNA is filed under the name uncultured bacterium. RNAcentral's name for it is "partial 16S ribosomal RNA". It matches the Rfam family "Bacterial small subunit ribosomal RNA", at positions 29 to 507 of the family's 1533-position model. The record is from RNAcentral.